Salvelinus namaycush (lake trout) is the source of this 202-nucleotide long non-coding RNA. RefSeq lists it as uncharacterized. NCBI's taxonomy places the organism in Eukaryota, Metazoa, Chordata, Actinopteri, Salmoniformes, Salmonidae. The record is from RefSeq and is a predicted model, not a curated record. The transcript has 4 exons.
CCCUGAUUCCGUGUUGUGGCCAACCGGCAAGGUGCACAGAAGGCCAAAGCCUUCUACUUCAGUGCAGACCCCUCAGAUCCACAAAAGGCCUCCAAUCAUUGUGAGCUAUGGGCAGGACCAAACAUCUGGGGAUGGAUGGAGCGUCAAUCCAGAGCCUCUCAGCCAGUCUGGAAGGGUGACUCGGCUGAUAGAGAGAAAAAAU